RNAcentral lists this ribosomal RNA (253 nucleotides) under uncultured bacterium. RNAcentral describes it as "partial 16S ribosomal RNA". It matches the Rfam family "Bacterial small subunit ribosomal RNA", at positions 524 to 776 of the family's 1533-position model. The record is from RNAcentral.
UACGGGGGGUGCGAGCGUUGUCCGGAAUCACUGGGCGUAAAGCGCACGUAGGCGGCUUUGUAAGUUAGAGGUGAAAGCCCGGGGCUCAACUCCGGAAUUGCCUUUAAGACUGCAUCGCUAGAAUUGUGGAGAGGUAAGUGGAAUUCCGAGUGUAGAGGUGAAAUUCGUAGAUAUUCGGAAGAACACCAGUGGCGAAGGCGACUUACUGGACACAUAUUGACGCUGAGGUGCGAAAGCGUGGGGAGCAAACAGG